UCAGUUUAGAUCAAAACUAAUUUCCAAGCUUUAGCAUUCCCGCAUGAUGGAUUCCUUAGUAAAGUCAUCUCUCAAUCAAAAUUUAAAAACAAAAAGAUCAACCAUCUGGCCUUCUCCAAAAGUUGGUUGAGAGGAAGAAAAGAAUUGGAGACAAAGCUUGAGAAGAAGAAAAGAAUCAACGGUCUAAAGCAACUUCUCAGAUUCCCAACAAUAAAGGGAUUAACUUCAGAAACAUCAACAAGUAUCAAACCCAGAACCUAUACCUCCAAAAGUUCUGAAAGAAUUAAGCAUUGCAUUGAUUUUGAAUAUAUACCCCAUAUCGACACGCAUCAAAUGGGUUCAUCAAAUUACUGUAUUGGUGCAUUCAAAUGGUUCAGCAAAUACCAUCUACUUUGCAAAAUAAAUUCCCUGCACGGAUCGCUCCUUACCGAGUAGGUUAGUUCCACAGGUAGGCUAUCGAAAAGUUUG
RNAcentral lists this unclassified non-coding RNA (468 nucleotides) under Hevea brasiliensis (rubber tree). Lineage: Eukaryota; Viridiplantae; Streptophyta; Magnoliopsida; Malpighiales; Euphorbiaceae. The record is from RNAcentral.